GUCCUGAUAGCUCAGCUGGAUAGAGCAAUGCCCUUCUAAGGCAUCGGUCAAGCGUUCGAAUCGCUUUCAGGACACCA
This 77-nucleotide transfer RNA is filed under the name Bacillota bacterium. RNAcentral's name for it is "tRNA-Arg". It matches the Rfam family "tRNA". From Rfam's summary of the family: Transfer RNA (tRNA) molecules are approximately 80 nucleotides in length. Lineage: Bacteria; Bacillati; Bacillota. The record is from RNAcentral.